Molecule: ribosomal RNA, 942 nt
Filed under: Staphylococcus simulans
Lineage: Bacteria; Bacillati; Bacillota; Bacilli; Caryophanales; Staphylococcaceae
Description: bacterial SSU rRNA
Rfam family: Bacterial small subunit ribosomal RNA
Source: RNAcentral
GAUGAACGCUGGCGGCGUGCCUAAUACAUGCAAGUCGAGCGAACAGACGAGGAGCUUGCUCCUCUGACGUUAGCGGCGGACGGGUGAGUAACACGUGGGUAACCUACCUAUAAGACUGGGAUAACUCCGGGAAACCGGGGCUAAUACCGGAUAACACAUGAAACCGCAUGGUUUCAUGAUGAAAGACGGUUUUGCUGUCACUUAUAGAUGGACCCGCGGCGUAUUAGCUAGUUGGUAAGGUAACGGCUUACCAAGGCAACGAUACGUAGCCGACCUGAGAGGGUGAUCGGCCACACUGGAACUGAGACACGGUCCAGACUCCUACGGGAGGCAGCAGUAGGGAAUCUUCCGCAAUGGGCGAAAGCCUGACGGAGCAACGCCGCGUGAGUGAUGAAGGUCUUCGGAUCGUAAAACUCUGUUAUUAGGGAAGAACAAGGAUGUAAGUAACUAUGCAUCCCUUGACGGUACCUAAUCAGAAAGCCACGGCUAACUACGUGCCAGCAGCCGCGGUAAUACGUAGGUGGCAAGCGUUAUCCGGAAUUAUUGGGCGUAAAGCGCGCGUAGGCGGUUUUUUAAGUCUGAUGUGAAAGCCCACGGCUCAACCGUGGAGGGUCAUUGGAAACUGGAAAACUUGAGUGCAGAAGAGGAAAGUGGAAUUCCAUGUGUAGCGGUGAAAUGCGCAGAGAUAUGGAGGAACACCAGUGGCGAAGGCGACUUUCUGGUCUGCAACUGACGCUGAUGUGCGAAAGCGUGGGGAUCAAACAGGAUUAGAUACCCUGGUAGUCCACGCCGUAAACGAUGAGUGCUAAGUGUUAGGGGGUUUCCGCCCCUUAGUGCUGCAGCUAACGCAUUAAGCACUCCGCCUGGGGAGUACGGCCGCAAGGCUGAAACUCAAAGGAAUUGACGGGGACCCGCACAAGCGGUGGAGCAUGUGGUUUAAUU